UAGGUUGGGUGUGUAAGCGCUGUGAGGCGUUGAGCUAACCAAUACUAAUUGCCCGUGAGGCUUGACCAU
Molecule: ribosomal RNA, 69 nt
Filed under: Pseudomonas sp. NFPP07
Lineage: Bacteria; Pseudomonadati; Pseudomonadota; Gammaproteobacteria; Pseudomonadales; Pseudomonadaceae
Also listed under: 2 other names
Description: 23S rRNA. Bacterial LSU
Source: RNAcentral